UGGUAGAGCAUCUGACUUUUAAUCAGAGGGUCGAAGGUUCGAGUCCUUCAUGGCUCACCA
Molecule: transfer RNA, 60 nt
Filed under: Brevibacillus laterosporus
Lineage: Bacteria; Bacillati; Bacillota; Bacilli; Caryophanales; Paenibacillaceae
Description: tRNA-Lys
Rfam family: tRNA
About the family: Transfer RNA (tRNA) molecules are approximately 80 nucleotides in length. Their secondary structure includes four short double-helical elements and three loops (D, anti-codon, and T loops).
Source: RNAcentral